AUUCCAGAUUGUUCUUUUUGUCUCUCUUUUCUCUUCUUCCUCACCAAUCUCUCCAAAUAUCAAACAACAAGAAGCACUCUCGAGAAAGAGUUAAGCCACGAGUAUGAAGAACUUGUACUAAUAUCAUUCAUUUCACUUGAUGAUAUUCCAAUUAUAAUCCUAAUUCUUAUCCCUACAGGAUACAAGUAUCCAUUCUCUCUUGCUUAUGACUAAAGUGUCUCUUUCAUCCUCGGAGCUUUCGAAUAUCAAGAAAUGCUCACUUUUCUUCAUCCUUUCAACUGGUUUAUAAGUUCAGGUACAUAUACUACUCUUCAAUUGAUGCAUACCUCAGACUUGAUUAUUUCCCACACUUUGAGGAGUUGAUUUGUCUAAGGCUUUAAGCAUUUGGUCUACCUCAAUGCCAACAAAUGAUGUGCAAGAAUUCUCCAAGAAGGCAUAGAAUAUACAUACAUAGAUCUGGCCCAAGUGUUGUCGCAUUGUCUUCCACUGUAGGUGUCUUUAUAAUCUAGAUCAAAGAUGAUUGCAUCAAGUUCAAGAGUGCUUACCAUGGUAAACAAGAAGAAUUCAUAGAAUUAUAACUAAAGUGUUGCAGGAAUACACCCAACAAGAACAUUCGACUGACGACUGCUUCAGUUGACAUGGCACCAUAUCUGGGUCCACAUUUGUCCAAGAUUUCAGAUAGAAAUAGUUUCAUAUAUCAAGACACAUCUAAUUUUUAACUUUUUAGUAUUCGUACCGAAGUUUGUAAUUAUGAAUUAUGAUCCAAGUACGAGUACAUGAAGAGGAUAUCAAUUGUGUUGGG
Solanum pennellii is the source of this 802-nucleotide long non-coding RNA. RefSeq lists it as uncharacterized. The record is from RefSeq and is a predicted model, not a curated record. NCBI's taxonomy places the organism in Eukaryota, Viridiplantae, Streptophyta, Magnoliopsida, Solanales, Solanaceae. The transcript is spliced from 4 exons.